RNAcentral lists this ribosomal RNA (766 nucleotides) under uncultured bacterium. Its description in RNAcentral is "bacterial SSU rRNA". It matches the Rfam family "Bacterial small subunit ribosomal RNA", at positions 8 to 796 of the family's 1533-position model. The record is from RNAcentral.
AGAGUUUGAUCAUGGCUCAGAGCGAACGCUGGCGGCAUGCCUAACACAUGCAAGUCGCACGGUUCGGGGGCAACUCCGGGCAGUGGCGGACGGGUGAGGAACGCGUAGGGAUCUAUCCAUGGGUGGGGGACAACCGCGGGAAACUGCGGCUAAUACCGCAUGACGAGCGUGUCCUGACGGGCACGUUCCAAAGGCCGAAAGGUCGCCUGUGGCGGAGCCUGCGUCCGAUUAGCUAGUUGGUGGGGUAACGGCUUACCAAGGCUCCGAUCGGUAGCUGGUCUGAGAGGAUGAUCAGCCACACUGGGACUGAGACACGGCCCAGACUCCUACGGGAGGCAGCAGUGGGGAAUAUUGGACAAUGGGCGCAAGCCUGAUCCAGCAAUGCCGCGUGGGUGAAGAAGGUCUUCGGAUUGUAAAGCCCUUUCGGCGGGGACGAUGAUGACGGUACCCGCAGAAGAAGCCCCGGCUAACUUCGUGCCAGCAGCCGCGGUAAUACGAAGGGGGCUAGCGUUGCUCGGAAUGACUGGGCGUAAAGGGCGCGUAGGCGGAUCGGAUAGUCAGGCGUGAAAUUCCUGGGCUCAACCUGGGGGCUGCGCUUGAUACGUCUGGUCUGGAGUGGGGAAGAGGGUCGUGGAAUUCCCAGUGUAGAGGUGAAAUUCGUAGAUAUUGGGAAGAACACCGGUGGCGAAGGCGGCGACCUGGUCCUUGACUGACGCUGAGGCGCGAAAGCGUGGGGAGCAAACAGGAUUAGAUACCCCCGUAGUCC